Molecule: ribosomal RNA, 253 nt
Filed under: uncultured bacterium
Lineage: Bacteria
Description: partial 16S ribosomal RNA
Rfam family: Bacterial small subunit ribosomal RNA
Source: RNAcentral
GACAGAGGGUGCGAACGUUGCUCGGAAUUACUGGGCGUAAAGCGUGUGUAGGCGGCUGCGCAAGUCAGGCGUGAAAUCCCUGGGCUCAACCCAGGAACUGCAUCUGAAACUGCAUGGCUGGAGUGUCGGAGAGGGAAGCGGAAUUCCUGGUGUAGAGGUGAAAUUCGUAGAUAUUCGGAAGAACACCAGUGGCGAAGGCGGCUCACUGGACGACUGUUGACGCUGAGGUGCGAAAGCGUGGGGAGCAAACAGG